Molecule: ribosomal RNA, 511 nt
Filed under: uncultured bacterium
Lineage: Bacteria
Description: partial 16S ribosomal RNA
Rfam family: Bacterial small subunit ribosomal RNA
Source: RNAcentral
GACGAACGCUGGCGGCGUGCCUAAUACAUGCAAGUAGAACGCUGAAGGAGGAGCUUGCUUCUCCGGAUGAGUUGCGAACGGGUGAGUAACGCGUAGGUAACCUGCCUGGUAGCGGGGGAUAACUAUUGGAAACGAUAGCUAAUACCGCAUAAGAGUAGAUGUUGCAUGACAUUUGCUUAAAAGGUGCAAUUGCAUCACUACCAGAUGGACCUGCGUUGUAUUAGCUAGUUGGUGGGGUAACGGCUCACCAAGGCGACGAUACAUAGCCGACCUGAGAGGGUGAUCGGCCACACUGGGACUGAGACACGGCCCAGACUCCUACGGGAGGCAGCAGUAGGGAAUCAUCGGCAAUGGACGGAAGUCUGACCGAGCAACGCCGCGUGAGUGAAGAAGGUUUUCGGAUCGUAAAGCUCUGUUGUAAGAGAAGAACGAGUGUGAGAGUGGAAAGUUCACACUGUGACGGUAUCUUACCAGAAAGGGAGGGCUAACUACGUGCCAGCCGCCGCAGUAA